This 72-nucleotide transfer RNA is filed under the name Salmo salar (Atlantic salmon). It matches the Rfam family "tRNA". From Rfam's summary of the family: Transfer RNA (tRNA) molecules are approximately 80 nucleotides in length. Their secondary structure includes four short double-helical elements and three loops (D, anti-codon, and T loops). Further hydrogen bonds mediate the characteristic L-shaped molecular structure. tRNAs have two regions of fundamental functional importance: the anti-codon, which is responsible for specific mRNA codon recognition, and the 3' end, to which the tRNAs corresponding amino acid is attached (by aminoacyl-tRNA synthetases). tRNAs cope with the degeneracy of the genetic code in two manners: having more than one tRNA (with a specific anti-codon) for a particular amino acid; and 'wobble' base-pairing, i.e. permitting non-standard base-pairing at the 3rd anti-codon position. RNAcentral also lists the same sequence under 1 other name. The record is from Rfam by way of RNAcentral. Lineage: Eukaryota; Metazoa; Chordata; Actinopteri; Salmoniformes; Salmonidae.
ACCCUUGUAGCUCAGUUGGUAGAGCAUGGCGCUUGCAUCGCCAGGGUUGUGGGUUUGAUUCCCAUGGGGGGA